This 526-nucleotide ribosomal RNA is filed under the name uncultured bacterium. Its description in RNAcentral is "partial 16S ribosomal RNA". It matches the Rfam family "Bacterial small subunit ribosomal RNA", at positions 355 to 874 of the family's 1533-position model. The record is from RNAcentral.
AGGGGAAUUUUGGACAAUGGGCGAAAGCCUGAUCCAGCAAUGCCGCGUGUGUGAAGAAGGCCUUCGGGUUGUAAAGCACUUUUGUCCGGAAAGAAAUCCUUGGCUCUAAUACAGUCGGGGGAUGACGGUACCGGAAGAAUAAGCACCGGCUAACUACGUGCCAGCAGCCGCGGUAAUACGUAGGGUGCAAGCGUUAAUCGGAAUUACUGGGCGUAAAGCGUGCGCAGGCGGUUUGCUAAGACCGAUGUGAAAUCCCCGGGCUCAACCUGGGAACUGCAUUGGUGACUGGCAGGCUAGAGUAUGGCAGAGGGGGGUAGAAUUCCACGUGUAGCAGUGAAAUGCGUAGAGAUGUGGAGGAAUACCGAUGGCGAAGGCAGCCCCCUGGGCCAAUACUGACGCUCAUGCACGAAAGCGUGGGGAGCAAACAGGAUUAGAUACCCUGGUAGUCCACGCCCUAAACGAUGUCAACUAGUUGUUGGGGAUUCAUUUCCUUAGUAACGUAGCUAACGCGUGAAGUUGACCGCCU